Molecule: ribosomal RNA, 301 nt
Filed under: uncultured bacterium
Lineage: Bacteria
Description: partial 16S ribosomal RNA
Rfam family: Bacterial small subunit ribosomal RNA
Source: RNAcentral
CAGCCGCCGCGGGAAUACGUAGGGUGCAAGCGUUAAUCGGAAUUACUGGGCGUAAAGCGUGCGUAGGCGGCUUUUUAAGUCGGAUGUGAAAUCCCUGAGCUUAACUUAGGAAUUGCAUUCGAUACUGGGAAGCUAGAGUAUGGGAGAGGAUGGUAGAAUUCCAGGUGUAGCGGUGAAAUGCGUAGAGAUCUGGAGGAAUACCGAUGGCGAAGGCAGCCAUCUGGCCUAAUACUGACGCUGAGGUACGAAAGCAUGGGGAGCAAACAGGAUUAGAUACCCCAGUAGUCCCUGUCUCUUAUAC